AAGNUAAGAGAGUCUGUUCGACUCUUAAUAAUUUACAUGAUUUGAGUUCAAACCGGCGCAAGCCAGGUUGGUUUCUAUCUUCUUUAAUAAAAUUUUAGUACGAAAGGACCAAAUUUUAAGUUAUUUACU
This 129-nucleotide ribosomal RNA is filed under the name Bonnetina sp. SCHZ21FPM. Its description in RNAcentral is "partial 16S ribosomal RNA". The record is from RNAcentral. Lineage: Eukaryota; Metazoa; Arthropoda; Arachnida; Araneae; Theraphosidae.